Molecule: ribosomal RNA, 467 nt
Filed under: uncultured bacterium
Lineage: Bacteria
Description: partial 16S ribosomal RNA
Rfam family: Bacterial small subunit ribosomal RNA
Source: RNAcentral
GAUGAACGCUGGCGGCGUGCUUAACACAUGCAAGUCGAACGGAAAGGCCCAAGCUUGCUUGGGUACUCGAGUGGCGAACGGGUGAGUAACACGUGGGUGAUCUGCCCUGCACUUCGGGAUAAGCCUGGGAAACUGGGUCUAAUACUGGAUAGGACCACUUCUUGGAUGUUGUGGUGGAAAGUUUUUUCGGUGUGGGAUGAGCUCGCGGCCUAUCAGCUUGUUGGUGGGGUAAUGGCCUACCAAGGCGUCGACGGGUAGCCGGCCUGAGAGGGUGUACGGCCACAUUGGGACUGAGAUACGGCCCAGACUCCUACGGGAGGCAGCAGUGGGGAAUAUUGCACAAUGGGCGCAAGCCUGAUGCAGCGACGCCGCGUGGGGGAUGACGGCCUUCGGGUUGUAAACUCCGUUCGCUAGGGACGAAGCGUUUUGUGACGGUACCUGGAGAAGAAGCACCGGCUAACUACGUG